GGCGGGAUGCUAUGAACCACCUUUUAGGUUGGUUCAGUGUGUCUAGUCCUAUUUUCUAGGGACGCUAUAGCCUUAACGGGUGUGUAGCAGUGUCUAGGACGUUUACUUUGAAGAAAUUAGAGUGUUUAAGGCAGGCUUGUGCUUGAAUACAUUAGCAUGGAAUAAUAGAAUAGGACUCUGGUCUUAUUUUGUUGGUUUUAAAGGCUGGAGUA
Molecule: ribosomal RNA, 212 nt
Filed under: uncultured fungus
Lineage: Eukaryota; Fungi
Description: partial small subunit ribosomal RNA
Rfam family: Eukaryotic small subunit ribosomal RNA (bases 83-212)
Source: RNAcentral